UUUCCGUAGGUGAACCUGCGGAAGGAUCAUUAGCAGAAUCGGUGGCCCUCGGGCGCCUUCUCUCAUCCUUCACCCUGUGCAUCGUGACCCCACUUUUUUCGCGCUCUGCGAAUGAACAAAAGUCUCGAAACCGAAAAACCAUAUGAACGCAUAAAAUGAAGCAACGGAUCUCUUGGCUCUCGCAUCGAUGAAGAACGCAGC
Molecule: unclassified non-coding RNA, 201 nt
Filed under: uncultured fungus
Lineage: Eukaryota; Fungi
Description: sequence contains ITS1, 5.8S rRNA gene
Rfam family: 5.8S ribosomal RNA (bases 153-201)
Source: RNAcentral